AACGGUCUAUACCUGCGGUACCUGCGGAAGGAUCAUUACUGAGGAGGGUCCAUGGCCCGAUCUCCAACCCUUUGAUAAAAACACCAUGUUGCUUUGGCAGGCCCGCCCGUUGGGGCCGCGGGGGAUCGCCGGUCCCUAGCCCGUGCCUGCCGGUAGCCUUCACAAAACUCUCAAAAUGUUGUCGUCUGAGAUGAUUAGAAUAAUAAAACUUUCAACAAUGGAUCUCUAGAUCGGAAGAGC
RNAcentral lists this unclassified non-coding RNA (240 nucleotides) under soil metagenome. RNAcentral's name for it is "partial contains 5.8S ribosomal RNA, internal transcribed spacer 2, and large subunit ribosomal RNA". The record is from RNAcentral.